AUCUCAUCGCAUUGGUGUUUUAUCAUCUCAUAUCCACACGAGAGAGUGCCCUAUUUUGAGGACUACAUCAGAGUAAAUGACACACACUCCUCGGCCAUAGAGUAUUUGGACAAGAACUCAUCACAAAAUGAUGUUAUUUCUGAAAAUGCUAUAAAAACGCAUCAAAAGAAGAGAAGUGGAUUGCACACAGAAACGAGAAAUCUAGGAUAGUCUGCAAAAACCUAUUCACCCCA
Long non-coding RNA from Hyaena hyaena (striped hyena), 233 nucleotides. RefSeq lists it as uncharacterized. The record is from RefSeq and is a predicted model, not a curated record. Lineage: Eukaryota; Metazoa; Chordata; Mammalia; Carnivora; Hyaenidae. The transcript is spliced from 3 exons.